ACGGGAGGCAGCAGUGGGGAAUAUUGGGCAAUGGGCGAAAGCCUGACCCAGCAAUGCCGCGUGAAGGAAGAAGGUCUUCGGAUUGUAAACUUCUUUUAUGAGGGACGAAGGAUUUGACGGUACCUCAUGAAUAAGCCACGGCUAACUACGUGCCAGCAGCCGCGGUAAUACGUAGGUGGCAAGCGUUAUCCGGAUUUACUGGGUGUAAAGGGCGCGUAGGCGGGGAAGCAAGUCAGAUGUGAAAUCCAUGGGCUCAACUCAUGAACUGCAUUUGAAACUGUUUCUCUUGAGUGCUGGAGAGGUAGAUGGAAUUCCUAGUGUAGCGGUGAAAUGCGUAGAUAUUAGGAGGAACACCGGUGGCGAAGGCGGCUUGCUGGACGAUAACUGACGCUGAGGCUCGAAAGCGUGGGGAGCAAACAGGAUUAGAUACCCUGGUA
Molecule: ribosomal RNA, 437 nt
Filed under: uncultured Oscillospiraceae bacterium
Lineage: Bacteria; Bacillati; Bacillota; Clostridia; Eubacteriales; Oscillospiraceae
Description: partial 16S ribosomal RNA
Rfam family: Bacterial small subunit ribosomal RNA
Source: RNAcentral